GACGAACGCUGGCGGCGUGCUUAACACAUGCAAGUCGAACGGAAAGGCCCUGCUUUUGUGGGGUGCUCGAGUGGCGAACGGGUGAGUAACACGUGAGUAACCUGCCCUUGACUUUGGGAUAACUUCAGGAAACUGGGGCUAAUACCGGAUAGGAGCUCCUGCUGCAUGGUGGGGGUUGGAAAGUUUCGGCGGUUGGGGAUGGACUCGCGGCUUAUCAGCUUGUUGGUGGGGUAGUGGCUUACCAAGGCUUUGACGGGUAGCCGGCCUGAGAGGGUGACCGGCCACAUUGGGACUGAGAUACGGCCCAGACUCCUACGGGAGGCAGCAGGGGGGAAUAUUGCACAAUGGGCGGAAGCCUGAUGCAGCAACGCCGCGUGCGGGAUGACGGCCUUCGGGGUGUAAACCGCUUUCGCCUGUGACGAAGCGUGAGUGACGGGAAUGGGUAAAGAAGCACCGGCUAAAUACGUG
RNAcentral lists this ribosomal RNA (468 nucleotides) under uncultured bacterium. Its description in RNAcentral is "partial 16S ribosomal RNA". It matches the Rfam family "Bacterial small subunit ribosomal RNA", at positions 28 to 507 of the family's 1533-position model. The record is from RNAcentral.